RNAcentral lists this unclassified non-coding RNA (159 nucleotides) under uncultured Ascomycota. RNAcentral describes it as "sequence contains ITS2". Lineage: Eukaryota; Fungi; Ascomycota. The record is from RNAcentral.
UCGACCCUCAAGCAUAGCUUGGUGUUGGGUGAAGUCCUUAAGGGGACCCACCCCUAACUCGUAGGCGGUCAUCGCCCGCUUCCCCCAGCAUAGCAGGCUCACGCACUUGCUCGGGGACGGGUGGUUUGACCCCGCUCAAUAAAAACCCUUUUUUCAAAG